GCGAAGAAGACAGUGGUUGACUGCACAAGAGGCUUGAGCAGGGAGGAGAGAGCCACAGCUAGAAGGAAGAAACGUGAGUCAUUGAUUUCAAGUGGGAGUGAUGGCAGAAGAAGAAGGGCUGGUAGGUACGAGAAAGAACUAGAAAAGAUGGUAAAAAUGCGAAAGGAAAUAAUAGCGCUAAGGGCUGCUGAGGAUGCACGGCUUUUUAACUUAGAUUAGCCCAAUCAAGUUACUUCAAGCACUUCUUUCCAAGAGAAAGAGUUCGGCGACUCAGGCUCUCCUGAUAAAGCACUUCAAGCAAUCCGGGUCACCAAGGAUAUAACUCCAGAUUUGUCCGCCGUUGUUGUCUCUCCCGCUUUGUUUGAUGGAGAUAAGAUGUUAUUUGUAUGCUCAGGCGUAGCUGUACCACCUGGGUCAACUAGAUUAGAGCCAACAAGAUUUCUGACUUCCAGACGUUUGGUUGUGGAAUUUGAGAAAUACAGAAAUCUUGAUGAUAAAUUGAGGAUUGAAGUGUGUCUUCGAGAUAAUAGUCAUAUGGAUGGGUUAUUGGGACUAUAUGAUGCUGAUAUUGCUAUUGUCACGUCCUGUGAUGAUACCCCACCAUAUGGUGUUUGUCCUGUAGACCUGGACCGUCAGGCAUCUCUGCCUUCCGAUGGUCAGAUAAUAGCAGCUGCUCGUGCCUUCGGAUCAGGCCGUUUGAUGGUCACGCCUGGGCUUCUGACUGGAGAUGGUCAUGCAAGCUGGACAAAAAUCACAGAGGCUGCACUUGGAGGGCCACUCGUCGAUCAUGAUGGGAAGUUUCUUGGGGUGAACAUUCACAUUGAUACUGCAGAAAGUUCCUUUUUCCUACCGCUGACAGCCCUUCGUGAACGACUGAAGCAUUUUCAGAUAGUCAAUCCUAAAACUAUGGACUUCCGUGCAUAUUCCUUGCCUGCAGGUGUAUCAAGCAUAAUCCCUUCAGGAUUCUGGAGAAGAAUUAAGUGGCUAGAAUCCGUUGGCUAUCCCAUGCCACCACCCCUUGUGCUUGAAUUCAAUGGGGAAUUGCUGGAGAGGUUUGAGGACGAGUUUGGUGAAUUACUUGCAUGGAAAGUGUAUCCUUACCCCGUUUCAAACCCUGGCUCUACGGAGUAUGUUUGGGCGCUACUUCCAAGAGAUGUUGUUAGAAACAUAUCCCGAAGUGUUGUCAAACUUGCUUCAUUCAAUGGAAGCGUGAGGUAUUUUGCAUGCACGGGCUUGCUUACAAAGUGGCCUGGAACUAAAGGCAUGCGCCCUAUCAUUCUCACUUCGGCCAGUUUGGUUAGAAGUCCUGAUGAUCAUUUCAAGAUUGAUAACAACUUAACGAUCGACGUUUUUCUCCCACCUGGACAACAUGCCAAGGGAACAUUGGUAUUCUACCAUUUAAAUAGUAAUAUUGCUAUCAUCAGUCUUGAGAAGGGUAUGCGUGGCAUUUGUCCGGUUGACAUUUGCCGUGAAGAUGAUUUAUCUAAACCAGUAGUAGCUAUAGCGCGUCAAAUUGAAGAAGGAUUUUUAAUGGCCUCAAAGGGAAAAGUCAUUCUUGACAAGCCUUGUCCCAUUGAUGUCAAAAAGCUUCUGUUGUAUACUUGUAAAAUCAACAAGGCUGGAAUUGGAGCCCCCCUUAUUAACUUUGAUGGAGCUUUUGUUGGCAUGAACCACUAUGAUGGAAGUGAAGAAACACCUUUCAUGCCAAGGCGUAAGAUUGUUCAAAUUCGAAAAGGAGAGAUUAAUUGGCGAAGACAAAGGUUGUCCAUGGGCAUACUGCAUGGUGUUGGAUGUGGGAUAAAUCAUAAAAGGUGGCCGGUGCCCGAGCCGUACUGACACCAUGAAAUACUUGAUCUGGAUAUCUAUGGUCUACCACCGCAUAUUGGAAGACAACUUCAAUAG
RNAcentral lists this ribosomal RNA (1902 nucleotides) under Triticum aestivum (bread wheat). RNAcentral describes it as "partial small subunit ribosomal RNA". Lineage: Eukaryota; Viridiplantae; Streptophyta; Magnoliopsida; Poales; Poaceae. The record is from RNAcentral.